Molecule: ribosomal RNA, 206 nt
Filed under: uncultured bacterium
Lineage: Bacteria
Description: partial 16S ribosomal RNA
Rfam family: Bacterial small subunit ribosomal RNA
Source: RNAcentral
CGUGUAGGCGGCUAGGUAGGUCCGUUGUGAAAACUCGAGGCUCAACCUCGAGACGUCGAUGGAAACCAUCUAGCUAGAGUCCGGAAGAGGAGAGUGGAAUUCCUGGUGUAGCGGUGAAAUGCACAGAUAUCAGGAAGAACACCCGUGGCGAAGGCGGCUCUCUGGUACGUGACUGACGCUGAGACGCGAAAGCGUGGGAGCAAACA